UAUGUUAAGUAUUUACACUAGGUGGCGCCAUAUGCUAAGUAUUUACACUAGGUGGCGCCAUAUGCUAAGUAUUUAGUCGCCAUUGACCUUGAAAUCAUUAAGUCAUUGGAAAAUAAACAAAAAGUGGUCCACUCGAUACGCAAACCUGUGUGUAGUGAAGAAUGUUAUAAUCACUUAUUCAUCUGCUGGUUUAUACUUUACAUUAGUUUUGGAUGAUACCACACAUUUGAAAAAUAUGGAUGUAAUCACAGUAGUGUGGACUAGAUACGCUCCUGUAUGUGGUAUCAUUACAGUGGAUGUCAGGUGUGGAUCCAACCAUUGCGUUUAUUUACAUUGUGACGUAAUCAUCACUUAUUCUUCUCUUCAUUAGUUUCUUCAUCCAAGAGCCCCUGCAAAUCCUCCCCAGAACAAAAAAAGAUAUAUUUCUGUCAUCCCCAAAAAUCCAGAAACAUCAAAGUAGCUGAUACUGGGAGUGUCCCGAUACAAUACCGAUUGUACCCUUUGUCGAUACCAAAAUCAGUCUGAUACGAUAUCAGCAGGGUCCUCAGUCCCAAAGGGACAUUCGGUCCCUAAAUAUAUUUAAGAGAUGUGUUCUAAAACCCCCUCAGUAAUAGUCAGGUAACACAACAACAUUUUAUUUAUUCAUACGAUUCUUUUAAAGUUCAUUUUACCAUUUUUUAAAUUGAAAUCGAGGGGUAUGCUGGCAAAUAUAAGGCCCAAUGGCUAAAACCAAAAAUAUGAAAACCAGUAUUUUCAUGGAUAAGGAAGCCUAACAAGGUAAUCAAGAGAUGAGAAACUAAUUGGAUGAUAGAUAAUUGAUUUUAGUGUAUUUUACAGCUGAUUUAAAGUCCUACUGAAAGCCACUACUAGCGACCACGCAGUCUGAUAGUUUAUAUAUCAAUGAUGAAAUAUUAACAUUGCAACACAUGCCAAUACGGCCGCUUUAGUUUACUAAAUUGCAAUUUUAAAUUUCGCGCCGAAAUAUCCUGCUGUGACGUCACAGAUUGUAGAGGACAUUUUGUUCCAGCAUCGUUUAUUGUUUAGCUCGUCUGUUUUCAUCGCAAAAUUCCACAGUAUUCUGGACAUCUGUGUUGCUGAAUCUUUCGUAAUUUGUUCAAUGGAGACAUCAAAGAAGAAAGCUGUAGGUGGGAAGCGGUGUAUAGCGGCCGCCUUUAGCGACAUAAACACAGCCGGUGUUUCAUUGUUUACAUUCCCGAAAGAUGACGGUGAAGCUUUACUAUGGAACAGAGCGGUCAAGCGAACACGGUUGGAUUGGACCACACACACAAAGUACAGUGUAUUUUGCAGCGAUCAUUUAGAAAGAUUGUGUUUCGAAGAGGGUCCCUUGCGAAGGGCAGAGAUGGGCAUCGCCACCACCUGCCGACUGGUGCUGAAGAAAGAUGCGGGGCCGACCUUCAGGUUGUACAGGUACCAUAUAAUCUCACUAAAACACUAGUAACACAAUAAGCAGAUGAGAGAUUUUCCAGAAUUAUCCUAGUAAAUUUGUCUAAUAACAUCUGAAUCGCUCCUAUUUUUUUCUAGUCCUUCUCUCUCACUUUCCUCAUCCACGAAUCUUUCAUCCUCGCUCAAAUUAAUGGGGAAGUUGUCGCUUUCUUGGUCCGAAUCGCCCUCGCUACUGGUGGCCAUGAUUGUAAACAAUGUUCAGAUGUGAGGAGCUCCACAACCCGUGACGUCACGCGCACAUCGUCUGCUACUUCCGGUACAGGCAAGGCUUUUUUAUUAGCCACCAAAAGUUGCCAACUUUAUUGUCGACGUUCUCUACUAAAUCCUUUCAGCCAAAAUAUGUCAAUAUGGUGAAAUGAUGAAGUAUGACACAUAGAAUGGAGCUGCUAUCCCCGUUUGAAUAAGAACAUCUCACUUCAGUCGGCCUUUAAGUCACGGGUUGAAACCGAUUAGUUAACAUAAGAGAUGCUAACAGAAAGCUAACACAAGAAGAAGGUUAACAUACUUUUUUUUUGUUUUUUUCCAAAGCUGUGUCUUUUCAGCUGUGGGUAUUAAUAACAUAAAACCCCUCCAGGUGUGCAAGAACUCGAAUGCGUAACGACUGUGAUUAGUUGAACAGGUUAUUGUAGGUGUUUUGUCCUCAAGUCGCCAGCCUGUGCAGAAAUGUCAAUCAAAGCGUGUGCGACGGAAUGGACGACGUUAGCGUGCAAGGCUCUCGUGUGCAGCGUCCUCUCAGGCGUGGCUGCUGCCUUCGUCACGGGAAGACUUGGCGUCGGCGUGUCUCCUCCUGAAGGUGUUCAGCGUGCCAGCCAGCGAGGCUCUCUGGUAACAUUCCUGCAUCCGAGCGUCGUGCGGUGACACAUCGGACUUGCUUCCAGCAAACAUGCAGACCUGACUGUCCAAACUCCUCACACCAGAGACGUCCAACUCACGGCCCAGAUCUGACAUGCCACAUCAUUUAAAGUGGCCCACCCAGGCCAGGUAAUAC
Nerophis ophidion (straightnose pipefish) is the source of this 2452-nucleotide long non-coding RNA. RefSeq lists it as uncharacterized. The transcript is spliced from 3 exons. NCBI's taxonomy places the organism in Eukaryota, Metazoa, Chordata, Actinopteri, Syngnathiformes, Syngnathidae. The record is from RefSeq and is a predicted model, not a curated record.